Polistes dominula (European paper wasp) is the source of this 632-nucleotide long non-coding RNA. NCBI's taxonomy places the organism in Eukaryota, Metazoa, Arthropoda, Insecta, Hymenoptera, Vespidae. The record is from RefSeq and is a predicted model, not a curated record.
CGGCCUAGCUGGUGUCAGUGAGAGGCUCUAUAACAACAACAACAAUAAAAUUAAUCAAAUAUAAUUCAAUUGAACUGUUCACUUGGCAGAUAUAUAUAUAUUACUAACUGAUGGACAACUGAGAGAAUUUCUUCUACAAUUUCGUGAAUCCAUACGUCUUUUAUUUAUUUAUUAUAUCUUCUUUGAGAUAUAAUUUUGAAACAAUUGAGUGAAAUUUUCAAGAUAAUCUCCAAGUUGUUUUAUUUAUGAAAUUUGUUUACAAGAGAGGAAUGGAUGGUGAGAGAAGUAUACUUAAAACAAAAAAGAAGGAAGGAAGGAAGGAAGGAAUUGUUUAGGCCAAUAAGAACUACCGAUUCUCUUGAUAAGGUUUCUGAAUACAUAAUAAGAAUACUUAUUGAAUUAGACACCCGAAGAAAGAUCAAAGUUAAGUAUAUAUUUUAAAUAAUUAUUAUUAUAAUAAUAAUAAAAAAAAAAAAAUGUGUUCAUAAUAAUUGCAAAAGAACAUUCGUUUGUACGCAGGUACAUUGGUGGUGAUGUUAAAACGCAAAAAGGAUUAUACCAGAUUCGUUGAAAAUGAUCCAAAUCUUUAGUAUACAUCAAACAAAUGUAAAAAAAAGAAGAAAAACAAUAAC